UACGUAGGGCGCAAGCGUUAUCCGGAAUUAUUGGGCGUAAAGAGCUCGUAGGCGGUUUGUCGCGUCUGCCGUGAAAGUCCGGGGCUCAACUCCGGAUCUGCGGUGGGUACGGGCAGACUAGAGUGAUGUAGGGGAGACUGGAAUUCUCGGUGUAGCAGUGAAAUGCGUAGAUAUCGAGAGGAACACCAGUGGCGAAGGCGAGUCCCUGGACAACACCUGACACUGAGGCACGAAAGCUAGGGGAGCAAACAGG
This 253-nucleotide ribosomal RNA is filed under the name uncultured bacterium. RNAcentral's name for it is "partial 16S ribosomal RNA". It matches the Rfam family "Bacterial small subunit ribosomal RNA", at positions 524 to 776 of the family's 1533-position model. The record is from RNAcentral.